Gasterosteus aculeatus aculeatus (three-spined stickleback) is the source of this 1013-nucleotide long non-coding RNA. NCBI's taxonomy places the organism in Eukaryota, Metazoa, Chordata, Actinopteri, Perciformes, Gasterosteidae. The record is from Ensembl.
GGACACAAUUGUGCCAAACGGACGUAUGCACCAAACGGAGAAAUCCCCGCUGGUGCCCUGAGCAUGUCCUUGAACCGGCACGCUGAGCGCUGGCGGGGGCUGGACAUUCAGAUAUUGAUCAUUCUUAACUGCCUUCGUUUGUCCAGUUGAUCUCAAGCUCCAGAUGUGUGAGUGCCAACGGCGCAUGUUAAUAACAUUGUGCAUGUUUUCCGCUUUCAGUCCUCUCUUUCUGCAUGUGUUUCAUGCAUCUUUCUGCAUUUAAAUGUGCUUCUGUUGACGCUCUCAGAGGCCCAACACCUCCUCAUCCACAGCCGGCGUCCAAAUGGCUGCUGCUGUUUAGGAAUUGCCUCUUUAUUGACGAAUGGACGCGGCCGAGGAGCCGGAGAGAGACCAAGUCCGAGGGCCUCAGAGACGGACGCGCGUCGUAAAGUCAGACUGCGGAGCCAGAGGACGUCCUCCGCCGGGACCUCCGAGAGCGGCUGCGCGUCGCCGAAAUGGAGAUCUCACCGCGCCUCGAGGCCUUUUAAAUGUUGAAUACGUGCUGAAGAGGCUGAGAGGCUUUCUCGUUUGGAUCUCCGCAGCAACUCGGUCAGGUGUCUCUCAGUAUCAGUGAUACCUCUGGUCACUCAGGGGGGGGACAUGGAAUAUGUAUUUAAUUACAUGAAUUAACGGGACGCCUCAGCAGGAUGAAGAGGGAUCGGCCGCGGCGGUGGCUCAGUGGCUCAAUGGUAGUUUGAUGACAUCGGCGCCGCGAGAUAACGCACCUCCUGACGCCUCGGCGGUGAAACAGAAGGCCGCUUCGCCGCGCCUGGUCUGCGCGGGUCGGUCGGCGCUCUCGUUGGCGACGGUCCGGGUCCUCGUGGCGUCCGGUUGGACGACGGCCAGCUGGUGACAUCUGACACGAUGGAAGGCCGACGGCAACUCAAGAAAGAUGGAGAGGCCUUCUGCUUUACCUGACUUUCAAAGAGGAAUCGUGGGAGACCUUCAGGAUCAGGACAUCGGUGCAUCCUCAG